UACGUAGGGACCAAGCGUUGUUCGGAUUUACUGGGCGUAAAGGGCGCGUAGGCGGCUUGACAAGUCACUUGUGGAAUCUCCGGGCUUAACUCGGAACGGCCAAGUGAAACUGUCAUGCUAGAGUGCAGAAGGGGCAAUCGGAAUUCUUGGUGUAGCGGUGAAAUGCGUAGAUAUCAAGAGGAACACCUGAGGUGAAGACGGGUUGCUGGGCUGACACUGACGCUGAGGCGCGAAAGCCAGGGGAGCAAACGGG
RNAcentral lists this ribosomal RNA (253 nucleotides) under uncultured bacterium. RNAcentral describes it as "partial 16S ribosomal RNA". It matches the Rfam family "Bacterial small subunit ribosomal RNA", at positions 524 to 776 of the family's 1533-position model. The record is from RNAcentral.